This is a long non-coding RNA of Calypte anna (Anna's hummingbird), 646 nucleotides long. RefSeq lists it as uncharacterized. Lineage: Eukaryota; Metazoa; Chordata; Aves; Apodiformes; Trochilidae. The record is from RefSeq and is a predicted model, not a curated record. The transcript has 4 exons.
AGACACAAACUCACAAUGCUGGGUGCUGGGGUUGCAGAGGAGAGGGAGCAGAGCAGGGACUCUACCUCCUGCUUCUUUCAUGCUUGAGGAUUGACAUGAGAAGCCUGCUGUGUGUGUGCCUCGCUGGAGAGACACAGCCAUACCCAAGUGUUGCAACUUCAUGCCAAGGUCACCCUUUGCCUGGAUCUGGCUUUGUGGGAAGAAGCCACUGAGAGCUCAUGAGGGAGUACAGCCACCCUGCCAGGUCACUCUUACCUUGGUCCUGGGGGAUCUACAAAUGGGAUGGAGACACAACCAGAGUUAUAACCUCCUUGUCAGGAUUCCAAACCAAGGUUAGUCUUCUUGAUUUGUUGCAUGGAACUGAAGUGGACCCUGGCAAAACACCAAACAGUCUGCCAAUUCACCUCUCAGACGUUGCCAACCCAGAGAUGCUGGCAUCAGUAGAUGAUAUUCAGUGUUGAGAUAAUACCUGGAUAGAUCACUGGGGGCAAGCCAAGCAAGGAUCUAACAAGUCUUUUUCAUAGGCUAAACCCAACACUGACAGCCAGAAGUAGCAUAAUGAAUCAGAGAAAUAUCACGUGGAUUGAAGCUAAGGACCUUCAGAAUCUGUGUCAGAGUGUCUGAUCUGGCACCCAGAGUCAGCAUU